Long non-coding RNA from Esox lucius (northern pike), 1220 nucleotides. The record is from Ensembl. Lineage: Eukaryota; Metazoa; Chordata; Actinopteri; Esociformes; Esocidae.
CCCACACUCUGGAAUAACUACAGACCGUGUUUCAACCCCACACCCUGGAUUAACGACAGAGCCUGUCUCAGUCUCAACCCCACACUCUGGAAUAACUACAGACCCUGUUUCAACCCCACACUCUGGAAUAACGACAGACCCUGUCCCGGUCUCAACCCCACACUCUGGAAUAACUACAGACCCUGUCCCGGUCUCAACCCCACACUCUGGAAUAACUACAGACCCUGUCCCGGUCUCAACCCCACACUCUGGAAUAACGACAGACCCUGUCCCGGUCUCAACUCCACACUCUGGAAUAACUACAGACCCUGUCCCGGUCUCAACCCCACACUCUGGAAUAACUACAGACCCUGUCCCGGUCUCAACCCCACACUCUGGAAUAACUACAGACCCAGUUUCAACCCCACACUCUGGAAUAACUACAGACCCUGUUUCAACUCCACACUCUGGAGUAACGACAGAGCCUGUCUCAGUAUCAACCCCACACUCUUCCCUGGACUCUGGUGUUACUACAGACCCUAUCUCUGCCCCCACUGUGACCCCUGUAACCCCGACCAUGACCCUGACCUCUCCAGCUCCAGUCUCUUCUAGAGUUCUAGACUCAGCUGUGAUCUCCCCAUCCUCUCCUCCUCUGUCAUCCCCCUCCUUUCCACCUCUCUCCUCCCCCUCCUCUUCUCCUGUCUCCUCCCCUCCUAAUCCUCCUCAUGUCUCCUCCACCCCUACUCAUCCUCUCUCAUUUCCUCCUUCCUCCUCCAACUGCUCUCCUCCUCUCUCCUCCCCCUCUUCUCCUCCUCCAGUCUGUGUAUCCAUCUCUUCAUCUCCUCCUCCCUCCUUUCCAUUGUCUCCUCCGCCGGUCCCCUCUCCCUCCUCUCCUCCUCUCUCCUCUCACUCAUCCUCCUCCUCCUCUCCUCCUCCUGUCUCCCCCAGGCCCACCCAGUCGCCCCCAAAGCAGACACUCUUCUCCCCUUGUGUGGAUGUGUACCAGCCUGGCCCCCAUACUUGGAGGAGUGAUGAAGAGGAGGAGGAGGAGGUGAGUGCAGACGAGAGCCAGUACCGCCACCGUCGUUUAACUGGGGACUCGGGCAUUGAAGUGUGUCGCUGUCAAGUGGAGCCAGAGGAGGAAGAGGAGGAGGAGGAGGAGAGGGAGGGAGAAAGGGAGGAGGCGGGUGGAGUGAAGAGAGGAGGAGAAGGGGAUGGAGGAGAGGAGGGGGUGAGUGAGC